GGUGCAUGGUUGUCGUCAGCUCGUGUCGUGAGAUGUUGGGUUAAGUCCCGCAACGAGCGCAACCCUUGUCUUUAGUUGCCAUCAUUAAGUUGGGCACUCUAGAGAGACUGCCAGGGAUAACCUGGAGGAAGGUGGGGAUGACGUCAAAUCAUCAUAACCCUUAUACUUAGGGCUACACACGUGCUACAAUGGGUAGUACAGAGGGUUGCCAAGCCGUAAGGUGGAGCUAAUCCCUUAAAGCUACUCUCAGUUCGGAUUGUAGGCUGAAACUCGCCUACAUGAAGCUGGAGUUACUAGUAAUCGCAGAUCAGAAUGCUGCGGUGAAUGCGUUCCCGGGUCUUGUACACACCGCCCGUCACACCACGGGAGUUGGAGACGCCCGAAGCCGAUUAUCUAACCUUUUGGAAGAAGUCGUCGAAGGUGGAAUCAAUAACUGGGGUGAAGUCGUAACAAGGUAGCCGUAUCGGAAGGUGCGGCUGGAUCACCUCCUUUCUAAGGA
This 499-nucleotide ribosomal RNA is filed under the name Clostridioides difficile. Its description in RNAcentral is "bacterial SSU rRNA". It matches the Rfam family "Bacterial small subunit ribosomal RNA", at positions 1040 to 1533 of the family's 1533-position model. Lineage: Bacteria; Bacillati; Bacillota; Clostridia; Peptostreptococcales; Peptostreptococcaceae. The record is from RNAcentral.